RNAcentral lists this ribosomal RNA (3008 nucleotides) under Salmonella enterica subsp. enterica serovar Derby. Its description in RNAcentral is "bacterial LSU rRNA". It matches the Rfam family "Bacterial large subunit ribosomal RNA". The record is from RNAcentral. Lineage: Bacteria; Pseudomonadati; Pseudomonadota; Gammaproteobacteria; Enterobacterales; Enterobacteriaceae.
GGGUUGUGAGGUUAAGCGACUAAGCGUACACGGUGGAUGCCCUGGCAGUCAGAGGCGAUGAAGGGCGUGCUAAUCUGCGAUAAGCGCCGGUAAGGUGAUAUGAACCGUUAUAACCGGCGAUACCCGAAUGGGGAAACCCAGUGUGAUUCGUCACACUAUCAUUAACUGAAUCCAUAGGUUAAUGAGGCGAACCGGGGGAACUGAAACAUCUAAGUACCCCGAGGAAAAGAAAUCAACCGAGAUUCCCCCAGUAGCGGCGAGCGAACGGGGAGGAGCCCAGAGCCUGAAUCAGCAUGUGUGUUAGUGGAAGCGUCUGGAAAGGCGCGCGAUACAGGGUGACAGCCCCGUACACAAAAGCGCAUGUGCUGUGAGCUCGAUGAGUAGGGCGGGACACGUGGUAUCCUGUCUGAAUAUGGGGGGACCAUCCUCCAAGGCUAAAUACUCCUGACUGACCGAUAGUGAACCAGUACCGUGAGGGAAAGGCGAAAAGAACCCCGGCGAGGGGAGUGAAAAAGAACCUGAAACCGUGUACGUACAAGCAGUGGGAGCACAGGUUUACCUGUGUGACUGCGUACCUUUUGUAUAAUGGGUCAGCGACUUAUAUUCUGUAGCAAGGUUAACCGCAUAGGGGAGCCGGAGGGAAACCGAGUCUUAAUUGGGCGUUAAGUUGCAGGGUAUAGACCCGAAACCCGGUGAUCUAGCCAUGGGCAGGUUGAAGGUUGGGUAACACUAACUGGAGGACCGAACCGACUAAUGUUGAAAAAUUAGCGGAUGACCUGUGGCUGGGGGUGAAAGGCCAAUCAAACCGGGAGAUAGCUGGUUCUCCCCGAAAGCUAUUUAGGUAGCGCCUCGUGAAUUCAUCUCCGGGGGUAGAGCACUGUUUCGGCUAGGGGGCCAUCCCGGCUUACCAACCCGAUGCAAACUGCGAAUACCGGAGAAUGUUAUCACGGGAGACACACGGCGGGUGCUAACGUCCGUCGUGAAGAGGGAAACAACCCAGACCGCCAGCUAAGGUCCCAAAGUCAUGGUUAAGUGGGAAACGAUGUGGGAAGGCCCAGACAGCCAGGAUGUUGGCUUAGAAGCAGCCAUCAUUUAAAGAAAGCGUAAUAGCUCACUGGUCGAGUCGGCCUGCGCGGAAGAUGUAACGGGGCUAAACCAUGCACCGAAGCUGCGGCAGCGAACGUAUCACUUAAAGCGAUUCAGCGGGUUACGAUUGACGGAGCGAAGCGACGUCAAAGCGUAUACAAAGUCGAGUCGGUUUAAGGAUACGUUCGUUGGGUAGGGGAGCGUUCUGUAAGCCUGUGAAGGUGGCCUGUGAGGGUUGCUGGAGGUAUCAGAAGUGCGAAUGCUGACAUAAGUAACGAUAAAGCGGGUGAAAAGCCCGCUCGCCGGAAGACCAAGGGUUCCUGUCCAACGUUAAUCGGGGCAGGGUGAGUCGACCCCUAAGGCGAGGCCGAAAGGCGUAGUCGAUGGGAAACGGGUUAAUAUUCCCGUACUUGGUGUUACUGCGAAGGGGGGACGGAGAAGGCUAUGUUGGCCGGGCGACGGUUGUCCCGGUUUAAGCGUGUAGGCUGGUUUUCCAGGCAAAUCCGGAAAAUCAAGGCUGAGGCGUGAUGACGAGGCACUACGGUGCUGAAGCAACAAAUGCCCUGCUUCCAGGAAAAGCCUCUAAGCAUCAGGUAACAUCAAAUCGUACCCCAAACCGACACAGGUGGUCAGGUAGAGAAUACCAAGGCGCUUGAGAGAACUCGGGUGAAGGAACUAGGCAAAAUGGUGCCGUAACUUCGGGAGAAGGCACGCUGAUAUGUAGGUGAAGCGGUUUACCCGUGGAGCUGAAAUCAGUCGAAGAUACCAGCUGGCUGCAACUGUUUAUUAAAAACACAGCACUGUGCAAACACGAAAGUGGACGUAUACGGUGUGACGCCUGCCCGGUGCCGGAAGGUUAAUUGAUGGGGUCAGCGCAAGCGAAGCUCCUGAUCGAAGCCCCGGUAAACGGCGGCCGUAACUAUAACGGUCCUAAGGUAGCGAAAUUCCUUGUCGGGUAAGUUCCGACCUGCACGAAUGGCGUAAUGAUGGCCAGGCUGUCUCCACCCGAGACUCAGUGAAAUUGAACUCGCUGUGAAGAUGCAGUGUACCCGCGGCAAGACGGAAAGACCCCGUGAACCUUUACUAUAGCUUGACACUGAACAUUGAGCCUUGAUGUGUAGGAUAGGUGGGAGGCUUUGAAGUGUGGACGCCAGUCUGCAUGGAGCCGACCUUGAAAUACCACCCUUUAAUGUUUGAUGUUCUAACGUGGACCCGUUACCCGGGUUGCGGACAGUGUCUGGUGGGUAGUUUGACUGGGGCGGUCUCCUCCUAAAGAGUAACGGAGGAGCACGAAGGUUGGCUAAUCCUGGUCGGACAUCAGGAGGUUAGUGCAAUGGCAUAAGCCAGCUUGACUGCGAGCGUGACGGCGCGAGCAGGUGCGAAAGCAGGUCAUAGUGAUCCGGUGGUUCUGAAUGGAAGGGCCAUCGCUCAACGGAUAAAAGGUACUCCGGGGAUAACAGGCUGAUACCGCCCAAGAGUUCAUAUCGACGGCGGUGUUUGGCACCUCGAUGUCGGCUCAUCACAUCCUGGGGCUGAAGUAGGUCCCAAGGGUAUGGCUGUUCGCCAUUUAAAGUGGUACGCGAGCUGGGUUUAGAACGUCGUGAGACAGUUCGGUCCCUAUCUGCCGUGGGCGCUGGAGAACUGAGGGGGGCUGCUCCUAGUACGAGAGGACCGGAGUGGACGCAUCACUGGUGUUCGGGUUGUCAUGCCAAUGGCACUGCCCGGUAGCUAAAUGCGGAAGAGAUAAGUGCUGAAAGCAUCUAAGCACGAAACUUGCCCCGAGAUGAGUUCUCCCUGAGACUUAGAGUCUCCUGAAGGAACGUUGAAGACGACGACGUUGAUAGGCCGGGUGUGUAAGCGCAGCGAUGCGUUGAGCUAACCGGUACUAAUGAACCGUGAGGCUUAACCUUACAACGCCGAAG